RNAcentral lists this ribosomal RNA (460 nucleotides) under uncultured bacterium. RNAcentral's name for it is "partial 16S ribosomal RNA". It matches the Rfam family "Bacterial small subunit ribosomal RNA", at positions 338 to 795 of the family's 1533-position model. The record is from RNAcentral.
CCUACGGGAGGCAGCAGUGAGGAAUAUUGGUCAAUGGACGAGAGUCUGAACCAGCCAAGUAGCGUGAAGGAUGACUGCCCUAUGGGUUGUAAACUUCUUUUAUAAAGGAAUAAAACGAGGCACGUGUGCCUUUUUCCAUGUACUUUAUGAAUAAGGAUCGGCUAACUCCGUGCCAGCAGCCGCGGUAAUACGGAGGAUCCGAGCGUUAUCCGGAUUUAUGGGGUUUAAAGGGAGCGUAGAUGGGUUGUUAAGUCAGUUGUGAAAGUUUGCGGCUAAACCGUAAAAUUGCAAUUGAUACUGGCAGUCUUGAGUACAGUUGAGGUAGGCGGAAUUCGUGGUGUAGCGGUGAAAUGCUUAGAUAUCACGAAGAACCCCGAUUGCGAAGGCAGCUUACUAAACUGUGACUGACAUUGAUGCUCGAAAGUGUGGGUAUCAAACAGGAUUAGAUACCCGAGUAGUC